Molecule: ribosomal RNA, 1649 nt
Filed under: Parvilucifera corolla
Lineage: Eukaryota; Perkinsozoa; Perkinsida; Perkinsidae
Description: SSU rRNA
Rfam family: Eukaryotic small subunit ribosomal RNA
Source: RNAcentral
UGCAUGUGUAAGUUUAAGUUUUAGUACGAGACUGCGAAUGGCUCAUUAUAACAGUUAUAAUUCACUUGGUAGUCUCUUACUACACGGAUAACUGUGGUAAUUCUAGAGCUAAUACGUGCAUAACAAUUCGACUUCGAAGAAGAAUUGCACUUAUUAGAUAUAAAACCAUCCUGACCCCUGGUCGGUACUCAUGGUGAUUCACAAUAAACGAGUGAAUCGRGGAAACUCGAUAGACCAUUCAAAUUUCUGACCUAUCAGCUCUCGAUGGUAAGAUAGAGGCUUACCAUGGCUAUGACGGGUAACGGGGAAUUAGGGUUCGACUCCRGAGAGGGAGCCUGAGAAACGGCUACCACAUCUAAGGAAGGCRGCAGGCGCGCAAAUUACCCAAUCCUGACAUAGGGAGGUAGUGACAAGAAAUAUCAAUGCAUGGUAUAUGCWGUGCAAUUGGAAUGAGAGGAAAGUAAAUUCUUUCUCGAGUAACAAUUGGAGGGCAAGUCUGGUGCCAGCAGCCGCGGUAAUUCCAGCUCCAAUAGCGUAUGCUAAAGUUGUUGCGGUUAAAAAGCUCGUAGUUGAAAACUUGUUGUAGCAGAUCAAUUUGUGCAUUCCACAAACCUGAUUAGCUUAACACUCCACUUUGACUAUUCUUCCGAGGGUAGUAUAAGGUGGCUGUUACUUUGAAGAAAUUAGAGUGUUUCACGCAAGCCGUCGCUUUGCAUAUACCAGCAUGGAAUAACACAAUACGACGUUGGAUUAUUUUGUUGGUUUACAUAUCCAGUGUAAUAAUUAAUAGGAACAAUCAGGGGCAUCCGUAUUCGCUUGUUAGAGGUGGAAUUCUUGGAUCUUGCGAGGACGAACUAAUGCGAAAGCAUUUGCCAGGGAUGUUUUCAUUAAUCAAGAACGAAAGUUAGGGGAUCGAAGACGAUUAGAUACCGUCCUAGUCUUAACCAUAAACUAUGCCAACUAGAGAUUGGGGAAUAUCAUUCACUGAUAUCCCCAGCAUCUUCUGGGAAACCAAAGUCUAUGGGUUCCGGGGGGAGUAUGGUCGCAAGGCUGAAACUUAAAGGAAUUGACGGAAGGGCACCACCAGGAGUGGAGCCUGCGGCUUAAUUUGACUCAACGCGGGAAAUCUCACCAGGUCCAGACAUAAGAAGGAUUGACAGAGAAACAGCUCUUUCUUAAUUUUAUGGGUGGUGGUGCAUGGCCGUUCUUAGUUGGUGGAGUGAUUUGUCUGGUUAAUUCCGUUAACGAACGAGAUCUUAGCUUACUAAAUAACUGCUUUUUACUUUAGUAAUAAUGUAGUUUCUUAGGAGGACUUUGUGCAACUAGUGCAAGGAAGUGUGAGGCAAUAACAGGUCUGUGAUGCCCUUAGAUGUUCUGGGCUGCACGCGCGCUACACUGACAGAAGCAGUAAGUUUCUUCUCCGAAAGGAGCGGAUAAUCCUAAAAUUCUGUCGUGAUGGGGAUAGUUUAUUGCAAUUAUUAAACUUGAACGAGGAAUUCCUAGUAAGUGUAAGGAAUAAACUUACGCUGAUUACGUCCCUGCCCUUUGUACACACCGCCCGUCGCUCCUACCGAUUGAGCUAUCCGGUGAAUUAUUUGGACUGGAACUAUUUCAUCUGAAAUAAUUCCGGGAAGUUUCGUGAACCUUAU